UACGGAGGGGACUAGCGUUGUUCGGAAUUACUGGGCGUAAAGCGCACGUAGGCGGAUUUGCAAGUCAGGGGUGAAAUCCCGGGGCUCAACCUCGGAACUGCCUUUGAUACUGCAAAUCUCGAGUCCGGAAGAGGUGAGUGGAAUUCCUAGUGUAGAGGUGAAAUUCGUAGAUAUUAGGAAGAACACCAGUGGCGAAGGCGGCUCACUGGUCCGGUACUGACGCUGAGGUGCGAAAGCGUGGGGAGCAAACAGG
Molecule: ribosomal RNA, 253 nt
Filed under: uncultured bacterium
Lineage: Bacteria
Description: partial 16S ribosomal RNA
Rfam family: Bacterial small subunit ribosomal RNA
Source: RNAcentral